RNAcentral lists this ribosomal RNA (505 nucleotides) under uncultured bacterium. RNAcentral describes it as "partial 16S ribosomal RNA". It matches the Rfam family "Bacterial small subunit ribosomal RNA", at positions 28 to 507 of the family's 1533-position model. The record is from RNAcentral.
GACGAACGCUGGCGGCGUGCCUAAUACAUGCAAGUAGAACGCACAGUUUAUACCGUAGCUUGCUACACCAUAGACUGUGAGUUGCGAACGGGUGAGUAACGCGUAGGUAACCUGCCUGGUAGCGGGGGAUAACUAUUGGAAACGAUAGCUAAUACCGCAUAAUAUUAAUUAUUGCAUGAUAAUUGAUUGAAAGAUGCAACUGCAUCACUACCAGAUGGACCUGCGUUGUAUUAGCUAGUAGGUGAGGUAACGGCUCACCUAGGCGACGAUACAUAGCCGACCUGAGAGGGUGAUCGGACACACUGGGACUGAGACACGGCCCAGACUCCUACGGGAGGCAGCAGUAGGGAAUCUUCGGCAAUGGACGAAAGUCUGACCGAGCAACGCCGCGUGAGUGAAGAAGGUUGUCGGAUCGUAAAGCUCUGUUGUAAGAGAAGAACGGGUGUGAGAGUGGAAAGUUCACACUGUGACGGUAUCUUACCAGAAAGGGACGGCUAACUACGUG